RNAcentral lists this microRNA precursor (104 nucleotides) under Marmota monax (woodchuck). Lineage: Eukaryota; Metazoa; Chordata; Mammalia; Rodentia; Sciuridae. The record is from RNAcentral.
ACAUACAUCAUUUGGGCAUGUUAUUAAGAUGCAGAUUCUGAUGCAGCCAGUCUGGAGCUGGCCAUGAGAGUUGCAUUUCUAACAGGCUCCCAGGUGAUACUGAU